RNAcentral lists this transfer RNA (73 nucleotides) under Segatella copri. RNAcentral describes it as "tRNA-Trp". It matches the Rfam family "tRNA". Rfam says of the family: Transfer RNA (tRNA) molecules are approximately 80 nucleotides in length. Lineage: Bacteria; Pseudomonadati; Bacteroidota; Bacteroidia; Bacteroidales; Prevotellaceae. The record is from RNAcentral.
GCAACAGUAUUUCAAUUGGCAGAAUGUUAGUCUCCAAAACUAAAGGUUGAUGGUUCGAGUCCAUCCUGUUGUG